Odocoileus virginianus texanus is the source of this 2602-nucleotide non-coding RNA. Lineage: Eukaryota; Metazoa; Chordata; Mammalia; Artiodactyla; Cervidae. The record is from RefSeq and is a predicted model, not a curated record.
AACACUAAGAAUAACAUCUGUAACCAUGAAACCUACAAAAGAUCUAGAGAGUUUGGAUUCAUUGGCAUUGAUCUGGGGGUAGAAAAGACCUAGAGUAAUGGCAUGAACAGAGUGAAUGGACUCCGUAUCAGGGAAGACUUCUGGAGAGACUGAUCGAGGUGAGGUUUGAAGAAAGGAAGUCGUGAAUAAACAGGAAAGAAUCAUAGAUUCUCAGAGGAUCACUAAUACAUAACAGAAGAAAAAAGAAAGAAAAGUGAAAUAUUAUCAGCACUGAUUAUUUUGUAUGAGAAAAGGUGAACUGAAAAGGUGGAAAGAGACACAAGAAUGUCAGAAAACGAAAGGAAGAGUCAAGGAGUUCCCAAAGAAGCUCUGGCUAAACAAGACACAUCUUCAUUAACUGAUGCUGUAGAACAAGUUGCAAAGCAACAGCAAUCACAAACAUCAGAAAUAGAAAGAAACAGAAAAGUUCUGUUCCAUUUACAGAAUGAACUUCAUGAGCUUGAAACACAAAUAGCAUCUGUCUCUGCAGAAACUAAAGAAACAGAAAGGCAAAUUUAUCAGCAAGAUGCUGCCAUACAGAAUACCAGACUUCACUGUGGAGACCUGGAAAAUCAAAUCAAAUCCUUACACGCAGAAAAUGUGAAGCUUAAAUCUGACAUAGAAACAGCCCAAGAAAAUUUUGAGGAACAAAUGAUAAAAUAUAAUGAAUACUAUGCCAAGAUAAAAGCACAUAAAGAUAGUUUGAGAGAGAUAGAGAACAAAUGGUCAUUCAUGACUGAACUCAAUGAGAAACGAGACCUUGUUAAAAAACUAAAGACAAUGAAAGAGGAACUUAAGCUGGAUCUCCAAAAUCCAGAAGGAAACCUGAUGAGACAAGCACAGGAAGAUAUUACAAAACUGAAGGAUGAAAUUACAACUGUAGAAGAAUCCAUCAGUGAACAAACUUGUUUUCUUGAGAAAGAAAUAAAGACACAUGAAAAAUUAAGAAAAGAAAUAGAGGUACAGCAUAAAAGAUACGGUGCAAUUCUCAAGCGUUUGCACUGUCAGGUAAACAAGCUUCACUCAAAUAGAAGACAAUGGCAAUGGAACAUCCAACAGCUGGAGAAAACCGCUGCUGAACUGAGAAAACGUAUUGAAAUGAAAGAUUAGCAUGGCUAUAGGGUGUUGUAAAGCACAGACUAUGCCACAAAAAUUAUGGGAUAGAAAGCUCAAAACACUAUAGUAACAGCCUGCUGCAGAUCAAGAGUAAUUAACUCAAAAUAUCACAAAGAACCAUGGAUCCAGAAGACAGAAUAUUGUAGAGUCAGAGCCAUAGCACCUGCCAUCAUGACUUCAGAAAAUUUGCAGUCAUUGUAAACGUAUCUAUUGCCAAGGGUAUUUUAUGAUAUCUUUGUGAUUUUGUUUGUACUUUAGCAGCACUGGAAAAUGUAAAAUUAGUGACAAUUACAAAAAACAAUUAUUGCUGUUGUGAAAAUGGUUUUAACCUAGGCUAAAGUAAAUUUUAGACUUUUUGCUCUGGGCCUCCAAACACUUACAAACACUAAUGUUGCUAGUCCUCAAAACUUUAAGCGGAUGUAAGUAAUUUAAAACUCUGCAAAAGGUCAGAUAUUUAUGGAAGUAGGGCCCAGUGGUAUGAAGAAAAUUUGAAUAAAUGGCUUUCAUUUUGUAACAUAAUAUUAGAAAGAAGCAGACUGGUAUGAGUUAGAACCAGCUGAUGAUGACAAAGAAACAAAUUUCAUGUUCUGCCUUCUCUGUUCAGCAAAUAUGACAUGGUUCUUUCUAUCUAGGUCAAUUUAGUUGGCAAGAGAGACAUGUGUGUAUAUAUAUAUGUAUAUAUAUAUAAAGCUCAAAUACAACAUAAAACAUCCGUGAUGGAAGCAUAAACCAAGCCCUAUGGAAACACAAAAUAAGGUGCAAUUAUUUCCAGACGAGGGUGGGAGAGUUUAAAAGAAGAGGUGGCAUUUGAGAUGGACUCUGAAGCAGCUAUUAAGUUCUCAUGGUUGUUUUCACUCAUCACACUCUGAAAGUUGCUAUCUUAUUCCGUUUCUGCAUUUCCAUUAGCAAGCAAAUACCUGGCCUGCAUAGUAGAUGCUCAGCUUUACACUGAAUGAAUUAGUGAAUAAAAUGAUCGACCAUUACUCUUGUGAUCAGUGUCUCCCAAUAGCCCUACUUUCAGUCGCUCCCACCUCUAAUCUUGUUGUUAAUAUUAGUGCUUGAGUUACUGUCUUAGAGUAGAAACUGAGCAUGGAACGCUUCUUCUGAAAAAAAGGAGAAAAACUUGCCAAAACACAAAAUCCAUUUUAGGACUAAACAGUAAACACUUAAAAAUCUGUCCCAACCUGUCUAUUAAUCCACUUGUCAAUUUUUGUUUUCUGCUCUGUUUAACAAUGAACCCAUAUUCCAUCGAAAGCAAAAUUCUAACUCUUCUGUAGGCAUGUAUUUUCACAUAUUCCCUUUGCCUCAAGUUCUGUCACCUAAGAGUCAAUUCUAACAUAGCCUCAGAACCAGUUUCAGCUACUAUAAAGCUUGAACUACAUUUAAAACACAUAUACACCCAUGGCUGAUUCAUGUGAAUGUAUGGCCAAAACCACCACAAUAUUGU